Molecule: ribosomal RNA, 253 nt
Filed under: uncultured bacterium
Lineage: Bacteria
Description: partial 16S ribosomal RNA
Rfam family: Bacterial small subunit ribosomal RNA
Source: RNAcentral
UACGGGGGGGGCAAGCGUUGUCCGGAUUUACUGGGCGUAAAGAGCGUGUAGGCGGCCACGCAGGUCCGUUGUGAAAACUGGAGGCUCAACCUUCAGACGUCGACGGAAACCGUGUGGCUAGAGUCCGGAAGAGGAGAGUGGAAUUCCUGGUGUAGCGGUGAAAUGCGCAGAUAUCAGGAAGAACACCAAUGGCGAAGGCAGCUCUCUGGGACGGUACUGACGCUGAGACGCGAAAGCGUGGGGAGCGAACAGG